This 239-nucleotide unclassified non-coding RNA is filed under the name Hevea brasiliensis (rubber tree). Lineage: Eukaryota; Viridiplantae; Streptophyta; Magnoliopsida; Malpighiales; Euphorbiaceae. The record is from RNAcentral.
UUAUUGUACAAUGUCUGCAGUGUUUCUGCUUUCUCAAGUAGUUAGUCGAUAUUGAACAACCCUGUGCAAAGAACAUGCGUAUAAAAUAUUAGAUUCAGGCAGUAGUAACCUACACGAUUAUGCGUGAUGACGAAGUUAUGGUGUUUUCUCCCCUCCUUGUUAGCCUUAUACCUUUCAAGCUCUGGUAGUCGUAGACCUACUUCAAGUUCUCCUUCGCUUAGUGACUGGUUGAGAUUGUG